This is a long non-coding RNA of Stegodyphus dumicola, 1959 nucleotides long. Lineage: Eukaryota; Metazoa; Arthropoda; Arachnida; Araneae; Eresidae. The record is from RefSeq and is a predicted model, not a curated record.
UUGUAAUUAAUUUAUGUUAGCAAAUAUUCUUUAAUUCUCAUGAUUUCAGUUAUUAGUUAAUCCAAGAAAAUUUUUUUGUCUUGUAAGGGAAUUUUUAAAAACUUUUAAAUUAUAACAAUUUUUUGUUGUGCAGUUUACCAUAUGGUAGAAAUAUGAAAUAUUUUGAUAAUUAAGAAUUUGGUAAAGGAGUCACAAGUUUGAAGUUUGACAUAUAUACCUGUAUAAGGUAUUUCUUCUGCCUUUUUAGCAUGCCUUCGUGGUGUAGUGGUCAGCACACUCGGCGCGUAUCAAGAAGACCAUGGCUUGAGUCCCGGCAAAGGCAUGGCUCAUUUUUCAUCUCUCCUGCUUUCAAAAAAUACCUAAUGUCUCUACAGUGACGCCUUGGUGGAUGAUGAUUGUUCGGAUUUGAUGAUUGACUCCCAUAAUUCCCAGUCACCUUUUAAAAGGGGAAGUAUAUAAGGUGUUUCUCCUGCCUUCUUAGCAUGCCUUUGUGAUGUAAUGGUCAGCACACUCUGCGCGUAUUCGAGAUGUCCAAGGCUCGAGUCCCGGCGAGGGCAUUGCUCAUUUUUCACGUCUCCUGCUUCGAAAUAACCUAAUGUCUCUACAGCUUUUUUUAUAUGCAUAAAAUUUCUUUCAUUUAUAUUUUAGGGACUUCUUUUGAGUAUUAAAAGACAAAGUUUGAACUAAGAAACUUAUUAUUAUCUUUAGUUUAAAUUUUUCUAAUAUUUAAUAAUUUUUUGUGUUAAUAAUAAAUUAUAAAUAUUUAUUUUUUUCAUUUUCCUUUUUAGUUUUAAGAUAUUGAUUCAAGUUUAUUUUUCUGAGCCCAGAAGAUUUUUCAUGCUCUUAAGCAUUUCAGAAAACUUUCUGUUCUCUCAAAAAACAUUGUAACAUAGAAAAAUGUGUAAAAACCAUCCUUUAUCAUGUAAAAUCCUCUCUGAUGCAUUAGACUAGUGGAUAAUGCAUUUAUUAAUAAUCUGUGAUCAUAAAGAGAAAAAUAUUGAUUUUGUUCCUUUUUUUAUCUUCUCAAAAAGGAUUUUCUUGUUUUCAAUGUGGCUUAGUGCUUCUUAUUUUUAUUACCCCUUGGACAUACAAUGAUAUCUGGAAUGUGUCAUUAAUAAUUAGAAAUUAGUGUGAAAAUAGAUAUUGAGUCCCGCCAGACGUUAUGAAAUUGCGGUCACUUCAAAACAAGUUUAGACUAUAAAGUGCAUAUUGAUAUGCUUGUGUGUUUCUGUUUUUUGGAGUGCAGAGUUAUUUUCUCUUUAUAAUUUUAAGCACAUCAACUUGGAAUUUUAUUUGUAUGCCAAGGAGUUAGUAUGUAUCUAGGCAAUUAACUACGUUUGUGUUGGUUGAAAAUGUCUUUUUUUUGCUCAAACUCAGUUUUUAGUGCAGUUGACCUGCUAAAUUUAUCUUUUUUUUAUUUCUUAAUUGCAGUGUAUUUCAUUUCUUAUGAUUAAAUGCUACUUAUCUCGAAUACGAGGUAUCAACAAAAAUCUAUCUGAAUGUCCUAUCUUGCAGAAACUCAUGAUUGUAAUAAGUUUGCUUGCAUUUUGCUUACUAGGCACAUUAUUGAGGAAUGAGGUGGAAAUUCGGUAUUUAUUUGGAGGUGCAAAUGGAGGGAAAAUGUUCAACAAAUUUAUAGAGUGGAAACAAAUUAUUAACAAUAUUAAUUAUUGAAAAUUUUGUUGUCAUAUUUAAAUGUUUGAGGUUCAAAGUGUACUAAAUUAAAAUUGUUAAAUUUAUUUUUCAUUCUUUAUCUGAACAAGUUCUGAAAUGAAUUUUGACAUAUAAAUUAUUUUAAAAUAUUAAAUAAUAGUUUAAUUGAUGUACUACUGCAUUCUAGUCAAUGAAAAUGCUAAAUUGGGUAAAGAAAUUAUAUUAUCCUUUGUAAAUAUUUCUGUGAAUAAACAUUUUAAUGUAAUUUUAUGUGUAAUGAGUAAACAAUAAAUGUGACUGUAAUUU